Molecule: long non-coding RNA, 200 nt
Filed under: Malus domestica (apple)
Lineage: Eukaryota; Viridiplantae; Streptophyta; Magnoliopsida; Rosales; Rosaceae
Description: long non-coding RNA (MDOM_LNC018219)
Source: RNAcentral
AGUAUGAGGAACUAAACCCCUCUUAGUUAGGGGGUGAUUCGAAACUAUGUUCAUACUUGCAAUAUGAUUUGAGUACAUCCAGUUGUGAUUCAUAAGUUGUGAAUUCAAUUUACUUAUCUGUUCAUAUAAAAACUAAUUUGUGUAUGUUGGUUAAGAGUGCACACGCUUAAUUUUCAUGCAUGAAUUUGACGCUAGAAUAU